AGUCCUGAUGGUGAAAUAAAUUGUUGCUUCAGAGCUGAAAGUGAAAUUCACAUUCAAAGAUGGAGAGUGAUUAAGUAAGCUUUGCAGGCUUAUUAUUUUGUAAGACAAAGUCGUUAUGUGUAAUUUCAGCCAAAUAAAGGAUAAAUCCCAACUUGAUCGCUUUUAUUACUACUUUCAUGGAAAGGAGCUUGUAGCGUAUCUUAAAAACCUGCCAGUAGCUGUUGUGUACUCAGAUUUCUGGCCUACUCAGAAGUCUUUGGUCUCGUGCCCUACCUUAGAAUUGUUAUUAGUGUCAGCGUAGCACAAAGCUGUGACUGUUCUCAUCCUAGAUGUUUGGGAUAAGCAUAGAUCACUCUGAAAGAAAUGCAUCCCUUUUACAUCCAUGGAAAUUACAAAAGAUACAGAGAGUGAUAGCCUUAAAAAUGUAACCAGAGAAAAUGAAAAGCUUGAAAAGCAGUCAUGUAAGCUAGUUUUUCUUUCCUGAUUAUCAAUAUUUAUCUACGAAAAGGUGGCUAUGACAAACAUGUAUUUUCUGUAGGAUAAGUAUGGAGAAAACAACUUGGCACAGAAUAACCAGAGAGGUACACAGCCAAGAAAUUCCAAUCAAAGGAGGUUCAAAAAGUAAUUUAAAAGAAGAGGAUAAAUAUAUUAUCUCACUGUUCAAAUAGUAGGCAUUAAAUAGUCAGAAAGACAGAAGAGACAUCUGUUUGAAGGUGUUUGAAUGAUGAAUCAAUCUGCAGGUCAAAGACAGACAAGUUACCCUGAGAGCACAGGGAUAAAUUACUCCAAGAAGACAAUGACGUGGUAAGAACUUCAAUUUUUAAUGCCACUUAUAGGCAUUAAAUGGAUAAGAAAAUGACAUGUAUAUGUUGCUAGCAUUUACUCUGGUGUAUUAUCGAGGAAUUUUUGUCAUACUUUGUUUUAUUUAGAAAGUAAAGUCCACUGCCAUCCAGCCUGGAUAAAUGAAUAGCCUAAUGCCUGUGGGGUAUGUUGUUUUGAUAAUGACACUGCAGCAUGUCAUGGGCUUAUCAGUGUCAGCACUGGAAAGUUGUCUUGAUGGCAAGGUGCUUCAAAGCAAAGGUCAAUUUUCAUUGUACGUGACAAUAAAACAAAACUGGUCAUUACUCUGUGUCUCAAAUGGCAUGAACAAAUUUCAUUUCCAACAGUGAGGUAAGUAAAUCUCAGAGAAUAUAACACUUUUUUAGGAGUUUAGCAAGUGCAAUAUCUCUCAGAAUGAAGAAUACUGGAGCCAAGAGCUAAUAACCUUUGAUAACUUCAAUAACACAAACAAAACUGUGCACGAUUUGUUGAGAAGACAGAUAGCACAAGGAAG
Molecule: long non-coding RNA, 1333 nt
Filed under: Coturnix japonica (Japanese quail)
Lineage: Eukaryota; Metazoa; Chordata; Aves; Galliformes; Phasianidae
Description: lncRNA (ENSCJPG00005001557.1)
Source: RNAcentral